Molecule: long non-coding RNA, 1229 nt
Organism: Mirounga angustirostris (Northern elephant seal)
Lineage: Eukaryota; Metazoa; Chordata; Mammalia; Carnivora; Phocidae
Exons: 7
Source: RefSeq, a predicted model, not a curated record
UGAAUUCUGCUUUGCAGUGUUAUGAACCCUGAGGCCUCUGAGCAGCUCCAAGGGUCUGUGUGGGGCCAAAGUUGGGCCAAAGACAUUUUGCUUUGGAUCUUUCAAUCACCUGCACAUCCAUAACUAAGAUGUCACUUUCCACUGAAUUCUGUUUUGUCAUUUUCAUCAAAAGGAGGAAGGACUAACGGGGACAAGAAGAUGUAUUCCUUCAGUUCUUGAUUCUGCCCAAUUAUCCUUUUUCCCUUAGACAUUUUGCUUUGGAUCUUUCAAUCACCUGCACGUCCAUUACUAAGAUGUCACUUUCCACUGAAUUCUGUUUUGUUAUUUUUGUCAAAAGAAUCUAACCACCAGAGCAGUCAGUAACUUGCUGCCGUUCACACAGUUGUUAUGACGGUUUGAAUUUUCGUCCUUUGAGAAAUGGAACCAUAUCUCACAAAUUCCAUGUAGCACAGAGCCUGGCACACAGGAGAUCCGGAGGACAAUAUGAGGGAAACGCUGACGAUGUUUUGGGAAGAAAUGAUUCACUGUUAUAAAAAGGAUUUGGCUUAUGAACUUUCCUUUCUAUAAAUAUGAGGAGACAAACAAUGGGCGGAAAGACUAAAGAGAGAGAGAGAGAGAAUACAAGCUGGGAGAGGAGCAUAUGGAGCAAGAGAAGCAGACUCCCCGCCAAGCAGGGAGCCUGAUGCGGGACUCCAUCCCGGGACCCCAGGAUCAUGACCUGAGCCGAAGGCAGAUGCUUAAUCAACUGAGCCACCCAGGUGGACUGCCACAUGCAGCACCUCAUUUGGAUGUGUCUGGAGUCUUGGAAACUUGGCUACCCUACAUUCUCCUACAAAUGGAUGCUGAGAGCUUGUUUGGAGGUUCUAGCAUGGGAAUGCAGCUACUCAUAUACUCUUGACUGAAGAAUGUUCCUCUUCUAUGGGGAAGCUGCUAAAAAAUAAAUGAUAAUGAAAGAGGAAGUAAGUCAAGAAAGAAGAAGAGGUAAUUAGAGAUCUAACAAAAAAGAGCACCAGGCAGCCAAUCUAGAGGACCAUCAUGAAGACAGAGAUCAAGGGCAUAGAAGUCUGCAAGAAGAUCUCCAGAGGAAGAGGAGCCUCUACUACUACAUUACCUUAUGUGUUUUAGCACUGGGACAAAACUAGGGAUAGUACGGUGAGACUGGUAGAGCAGUUUGAAACUUAAAAAAUAAACAAUUUUUUAAUGAAAUAAUUGGGAAAAAUCACAUACUU